UGAACGCUGGCGGCAGGCCUAACACAUGCAAGUCGACCGGUAACAGGAAACAGCUUGCUGUUUCGCUGACGAGUGGCGGACGGGUGAGUAAUGUCUGGGAAACUGCCUGAUGGAGGGGGAUAACUACUGGAAACGGUAGCUAAUACCGCAUAACGUCGCAAGACCAAAGAGGGGGACCCUCGGGCCUCUUGCCAUCGGAUGUGCCCAGAUGGGAUUAGCUUGUUGGUGGGGUAACGGCUCACCAAGGCGACGAUCCCUAGCUGGUCUGAGAGGAUGACCAGCCACACUGGAACUGAGACACGGUCCAGACUCCUACGGGAGGCAGCAGUGGGGAAUAUUGCACAAUGGGCGCAAGCCUGAUGCAGCCAUGCCGCGUGUAUGAAGAAGGCCUUCGGGUUGUAAAGUACUUUCAGCGGGGAGGAAGGGAGUAAAGUUAAUACCUUUGCUCAUUGACGUUACCCGCAGAAGAAGCACCGGCUAACUCCGU
Molecule: ribosomal RNA, 487 nt
Filed under: uncultured bacterium
Lineage: Bacteria
Description: partial 16S ribosomal RNA
Rfam family: Bacterial small subunit ribosomal RNA
Source: RNAcentral